UUGAACGGAACUUGCUGGUGCUUGGAUCGCAGCUCCGCCGAUCUCCGCGAGGCUAACACCACCGACUUCGACUUCGUCGCUCAAAUCAUAUAUCACAAAUCGCCAAAUACAAAAGCCUAGUUGUGCACACCUAUAUAUUUAAUUUUUUUUUUGUUUGUUUACCGUUACGUGCUAAACCAUUUGUGUGCUGGUGAUAUUCGUGUAGAACAUAAUAACAUAAUAUUCAGAAUUUUCGAGCCGUGUUUCCAUAGACUAAUUGUAACAGAUUCCGUGUCUUCAACCGUUGGGAGCUGCUCUUCCAACACAUCCGCCUGGCCAUGUCCCGCAUCGGAAACCAAAACCGGGAGCUGCUCCUCCUGCCACUGCUGCUCCUCGUCCUCCUGGUCGACGGCAAGGCAGCGGCGGGCUCCCUGGUGUCCCCGAACAAUAGGCAGCCAUCGCAGCGGUUCUUCUACGCCGCCGCCACGUCCUCCUCCUCCACGCAGACGAAGGUGCGCCUGCUGCGCCAGGCGGACGAUCCCAAUGCGGCGCCGGCUGCACUGGAGGGCAGCUGCUGUCAAGGAGCAGCCGCGGAAGCCGGUAAACCAUUGACGCUGCCACUGGCCGUGUCCGCUGAGCUGACCAACGUGACCGCCGACUACGAUGUGUCCGGCGAGAUGCCCUCCUCCAAGGAAAACUUCAAGCGCAGCAUCAUGAAAUCAACUGUGAGGAAUGCGACGCCGGCGAGCUGCUCCCCGCAACCGACGAUCGUGGAGCUGAAGCCGCCGGCGGAGGAUGAGGCCAAUUACUACUACAUGCCAGCGUGCACGCGCAUCAGCCGGUGCAAUGGAUGCUGCGGCUCCACGCUGAUCUCCUGCCAGCCGACGGAGGUGGAGCAGGUGCAGCUGCGGGUGCGCAAGGUGGACCGGGCGGCCACCAGCGGUCGCAGGCCGUUCACCAUCAUCACCGUGGAGCAGCAUACGCAGUGCCGCUGCGAUUGCCGCACCAAGGCGGAGGAUUGCAACGUGUAUCAGUCGUAUCGCAAGGAUCUGUGCCGCUGCGAGUGCCACAACACGGACGCGAGGGACAAGUGCCUGGAGCAGGCGGAGAACAAGUACUGGGUGGACGACAACUGCACCUGCGUCUGCCGCUACAACCAGAGCUGCACCACCGGCACCGUCUUCGAUGAGACGCAGUGCAAGUGCACCGACAUUAAAAAUGUCGAGUAUUAUUCUUAGAGUCCACAAAACACAACACACACACACUACACACAAAUUUGUUCGAUUGCGAGUCCUAAAACUCUUGUGAUACUGUUAAAUUAACUUUCUCGAAAAAAAACGAAAAAAAACUAACUUUAAAUUAGCAACUUCUGCUUAGCGAUUGGUUAAGGAUUGACAAAUAAAUGAAAAUACAUUUAAUAAAUAUAGCUGAGUUGAGGCAAAAAGAGGGAGAAGGGAGUUGCAUUGUCCGGCUGCACCCAUCAAUGUUUUGGAUCGCAAGCGCUUCAUUGUCCAGGCGGUACAGGUGGACCCCGAUAACACCACCCUGUACAGCGUUUGAGGAGUACGAACGCCAGCUUCCUAGCGGGGAAUCCCCGAGUACUGAGAAGGCAAUUGCCGGGGAAUUGCACCGUGUACUUUAUAUUAUUUAUAGUUACCGAUUAAACCUAGGCUAAAACUGCAAUCCCCCUUACACUUAACACACAGUAUUUACCCCCUUUUGCAACCAAAACUUUAAAUGGCUGCGCAGAAAUCUCGGCUGAAAUCUCCACUUUCAGAUACACUUUCAAAAGAAUUUUAGACCCUUAGAGAUUUCUGCGCAUAUCCUGUGCAUUAAUUUUUAUGAAUUUGUUUAUAUAACUUUUUAAGCGCCUUUCACUUUGUCGCGGCCCUGUACACACUUGUUGAUUUCCGUUUGUUUAAGUUUUAAGUCAUCCAAAAUGAGUUGUCCACAAAUUAAACGCUUUCCAAUAAUCCGCCGUACUUCAUUUGCAUGUAACUUUUUUUUGUAAAAAACUGUUAGACUUAAGUUUACGUAAAGAAAAUACAGACAAAGUAUUGAAUUA
RNA transcript from Drosophila teissieri, 2044 nucleotides. It is a transcript of the gene named vascular endothelial growth factor C, with no coding region annotated. The record is from RefSeq and is a predicted model, not a curated record. The transcript is spliced from 7 exons. Lineage: Eukaryota; Metazoa; Arthropoda; Insecta; Diptera; Drosophilidae.